Long non-coding RNA from Mesocricetus auratus (golden hamster), 492 nucleotides. RefSeq lists it as uncharacterized. Lineage: Eukaryota; Metazoa; Chordata; Mammalia; Rodentia; Cricetidae. The record is from RefSeq and is a predicted model, not a curated record. The transcript is spliced from 2 exons.
GAUGUGGGACGCCUCAGCCCACUGUGAGUGAUGCCCUUCCUAGGCAGUGGUCCUGGGUUGUACUAGAAAGCAGCCAGGGAGCAGAGCCAGGGAGCGCCAUCCUCUGCGAUUCCUGUCUCAGUUCCUGCUUGAGUGUCUGCCCUGACCUCUGUCAAUGACGGACUGUGAUGGAGACGGCAUCGGGAAAGAAACCAAGGUUUUGCAUCCUAUAGGGCCCCGGGAGACUGGGUUAGACUUCUCUCCUGACUCCUUCGCUUAAGGUAGUCACUGAGAAUGAAUCCACAGUGCGAGUGAGUUGAAGGCGCCCUCCAGAAAUCGUUGUCCUCUGGUCCCUCUCCUCCAGUGAGAAAAGCCAUGCUGCAGCCGUCCAGGAGAAGCCUCGGCAGCUUGGGGAGAUUGGUGUAACAACUUUUGUUGAAAAAAAACAAAAGCCAUGGAAUUCCUGGGCCUGGUUUCCCUUUGGAUUAAAAUAAAUUUUAACUGCAAAGCCAA